RNAcentral lists this ribosomal RNA (253 nucleotides) under uncultured bacterium. RNAcentral describes it as "partial 16S ribosomal RNA". It matches the Rfam family "Bacterial small subunit ribosomal RNA", at positions 524 to 776 of the family's 1533-position model. The record is from RNAcentral.
UACAGAGGGUGCGAGCGUUAAUCGGAAUUACUGGGCGUAAAGCGCGCGUAGGCGGCUUUGCAAGUCGGGUGUGAAAUCCCCAGGCUUAACCUGGGAACUGCACUCGAGACUGCAUUGCUAGAGUAUGGGAGAGGGAAGUGGAAUUUCAGGUGUAGCGGUGAAAUGCGUAGAUAUCUGAAGGAACAUCAGUGGCGAAAGCGACUUCCUGGACCAAUACUGACGCUCAUGUGCGAAAGCGUGGGGAGCAAACAGG